Molecule: long non-coding RNA, 257 nt
Organism: Triticum aestivum (bread wheat)
Lineage: Eukaryota; Viridiplantae; Streptophyta; Magnoliopsida; Poales; Poaceae
Exons: 3
Source: RefSeq, a predicted model, not a curated record
CUUUCAAAUAUCGUUUUUACAGGACAAAGAUGUACUUCUAAAAACAUUGGAUGGUGUUCGAAGAUAUUAUGCACACCGCAAAGGCCUUCUGCAACUUGACUUUAUCAAGUAACCCCAAGGAAGUUUUAAAACGGAUUAAAGAGUCAACUAGAUGGUCUGACGAGCUGGAUGAUUAUGAGCUACAACUUGGCUAAAGGGUCAUAUGAAACUUUUAAAGAGAUAUAUGAGUGAAUUGGACACAACUUCCACAAGCAGCA